CGGCGAUCGAGGCCGGCGAGCCCGGCAGGUGCGCCCGAGAUGCCAUUGAAGCGACCAGCACGCUGUCAGGAGGGAAGCUCGAGCUCGAGGCGCGCUGGUGGUCGGGGAGCUUGACUGUGAGACUGGAUGGACGAUUAGUGCUAGCUAGAGGGAGGAUGGACUCAUGGACCGGGGCGGCGGGGCGGGUGCGGCCGAGUAAUAAGGCGGCGGCGGCGGUUGGGGAGGGGAGUGGUGGAGGUGGUGGAAGUGGUCGCGACCCGCACGGCCAGCGCUCGCUUGCGGAGCAGGGGGGAACGUGGGAUGUGCCGACGUG
Molecule: unclassified non-coding RNA, 313 nt
Filed under: Zea mays
Lineage: Eukaryota; Viridiplantae; Streptophyta; Magnoliopsida; Poales; Poaceae
Description: misc RNA Zm00001eb040110
Source: RNAcentral